This 253-nucleotide ribosomal RNA is filed under the name uncultured bacterium. RNAcentral's name for it is "partial 16S ribosomal RNA". It matches the Rfam family "Bacterial small subunit ribosomal RNA", at positions 524 to 776 of the family's 1533-position model. The record is from RNAcentral.
UACGAAGGGUGCAAACGUUGCUCGGAAUUACUGGGCGUAAAGCGAGCGUAGUCGGUUAUUUAAGUCGGGUGUGAAAGCCCCGGGCUCAACCUGGGAAUUGCAUUCGAUACUGGAUGGCUUGAGGUUGGGAGAGGGAUGCGGAAUUCCAGGUGUAGCGGUGAAAUGCGUAGAUAUCUGGAGGAACACCGGUGGCGAAGGCGGCAUCCUGGACCAAUUCUGACACUGAGGAGCGAAAGCCAGGGGAGCAAACGGG